AAAAUGCGAUAAGUAAUGUGAAUUGCAGAAUUCAGUGAAUCAUCGAAUCUUUGAACGCACAUUGCGCCCAUUAGUAUUCUAAUGGGCAUGCCUGUUCGAGCGUCAUUUCAACCCUCAAGCCUUAGUUGCUUGGUGUUGGGAGCUUAUCCUGCCGCAAGGCGGGACAACUCCUUAAAUUUAUUGGCGGAGUCGCGGUGACCCCAAGCGCAGUAAUUCCUUUUCUCGCUUUAGGUGUUAACGCUGGCUUCUAGCCAUUAAACCCCCUAAUUUUCUAAUGGUUGACCUCGGAUCAGUUAGGACUACCCGCUGAACUUAAGC
RNAcentral lists this unclassified non-coding RNA (318 nucleotides) under plant metagenome. RNAcentral describes it as "partial contains 5.8S ribosomal RNA, internal transcribed spacer 2, and large subunit ribosomal RNA". The stretch from base 1 to 105 matches the Rfam family "5.8S ribosomal RNA", at positions 50 to 154 of the family's 154-position model. The record is from RNAcentral.